Larimichthys crocea (large yellow croaker) is the source of this 1943-nucleotide long non-coding RNA. RefSeq lists it as uncharacterized. The record is from RefSeq and is a predicted model, not a curated record. NCBI's taxonomy places the organism in Eukaryota, Metazoa, Chordata, Actinopteri, Sciaenidae. The transcript has 4 exons.
UUUUUUUUUUUCUUCUUCUUUUUUUUAAAAACACUUCUGUGGGUUGGAUCAGCUCAUUGUGCAGGUUUACUCUCAGUUGAAGUCAGUGAAGGCUCGCAACGUUUUGGGUUUCUCCCCUGGACUCCUGGCUCUCAUAGUUUGGUUCCACUUGAGAGGUGAUGGUAGAAACUCGCGUUAAAAACACUGAAUGGACUUGAACCGGGAGAUGCGGGAUUUAUUCAAAGUUGAUGGCGUGAAUCUGUGGAGUGCAGACAGACUCUCAGUCACAUAGAAAUACUCUGCAGGCCUGUGUCUGAACCUGCAGGCCAUCAGGUCAGCAGAGACACACACAAACACACACCACCUCCUGCUCUUGAGGAUCACAGACCGGGUCAUGGCAAAGCUUCAUCGCUCCAAAGUUACAGCAGGAGGAGGAGGAGGAGGAGGAGGCGGCAGUGGAGGAGGAAAAAGAGAAGCAGAGUGGGUGGAAGGAUGGAAGGAGAGAAGGAUAGAAGCAGUUCGAGGAGGUGGUUCGAAGCGGGUGAACCCAGAGCAGGUGAACACAGCUGUGGAUCGCCAUGGGCUCUCUGGCUGCCUUCCUCCUGUGGCCCCGGUGCUGCAUACAGGGGUCCCGGGGAGCCGGCAGGGGCCAGCCAAAGCUGCGGCAGAGUGGGCAGGCUAGGCCAGCCAAGCCAGGAGAAAGGCAGGUGAGGCGGGUGAGCCGAGCUCUCAUCCCCGCCGGCUAGGAGCCUCCGCGGCAGAGCGGAGCAGCGCGGAGCAGCAGAAAUCAAUACAGAGGAGAGAGGCUAGCAGAGGUUGCCCAGCACCGCCUGCAGGCCUCGGAGCCCAGGGACCAACCACCACCACUGCUCCCAGCUUCUCUCUCCAUCUCUCUUUCUAUCUUUCUCCAACAGUCCCAGCAUCAGCCAGGGCCAGGGCCCUAACCCUGCAACCGCCCCACACGCAGUGUGUGUGUCAGUAGGUGCACAUGUGUGUGUGUGUGUGUGUAAAAUAGAGAGAAAAAGGGAGAGGGAAGAGACAGAGCGAGAAAGAGAGAGAGAGAGAGUCUUUGUGUGUGGUUCAGCCGGAGGGGUUUUUGCUGCGUCCAACACCACUUGAUAAAACUUUGUCAGAAAGACACAGAUACAGCGAGGGAGGGAGGGAAACGGAAGAAGAAUAAGACAGGACGUCGAAGGUCUCUUUUCUUCCAGCUCCCUCCCUCUUAUUACUAAUUCCGCCUUAACUGUUUGAAUAAGGAUCCAUCGGAGAUGGCGCCCAGGACGUUUUCCUCAGCCUCAGUCCUACUUCCAAGCACGUAGCUCACAAUAUUCCUAAGAUCUCAUGAGCCAGGAUGAAAGGACAAUAUGAACUUUUUCUCUCAUCCACUGUAUCAGAUACAACCUGUCUUUUUCGCCUUAGAUUUUCUUACCCUUGCUACAGCAGCUCCCAUCAGAGGAUAUGGCAGUGCAGUAUUGAUCUAUAAGGUGGAAGAGAGGAAGGCGGGCCUGAGCUUUCAUACCUCUCUCUCUAUAUAUGUGUGGAAAUAGCACCUGAAGUCCACUUACUGCUGUGCAGCAGGGGUCCCAUGGCAGCACAAGUGAAUGGCUGCUAAUUGAAUGAGAGAUGAAAAGGACAGUAGUUGUAUCCGUUCGGUACUUGCCCACGUCCCCCUCCUGUCUGACACUACUUGAUUUUUCAUCUGACGUUUUUUUCUCCUCCACAUUCCCCGCACGACGAGACCUGCUCUUCAGAUGUUUUAGCAAAUUGGUGAUGACUAAAGAAAAAAAAAAAUCCCGGCAGAGACAUCCAGGCUUUGUGAGGUCAUGCCACAAAACGUACUGUACUGUGCACAUUUGUGGACUCGCAAGGACGUUACAGGACAGAUGGGAGAGAGAGUUUUCAAGCGUGAAAACUUAACCGAGAUUACGACUGGAUUCAUACCGCUCGAUGUCAGCCAUGGAGAU